UAAAACCAGUGUACCUUACGUUGGGUGUC
Molecule: non-coding RNA, 29 nt
Filed under: Mus musculus (house mouse)
Lineage: Eukaryota; Metazoa; Chordata; Mammalia; Rodentia; Muridae
Source: RNAcentral